AGAGUUUGAUCAUGGCUCAGAUUGAACGCUGGCGGCAGGCCUAACACAUGCAAGUCGAGCGGAUGACAGGAGCUUGCUCCUGAAUUCAGCGGCGGACGGGUGAGUAAUGCCUAGGAAUCUGCCUGGUAGUGGGGACAACGUUUCGAAAGGAACGCUAAUACCGCAUACGUCCUACGGGAGAAAGCAGGGGACCUUCGGGCCUUGCGCUAUCAGAUGAGCCUAGGUCGGAUUAGCUAGUUGGUGAGGUAAUGGCUCACCAAGGCGACGAUCCGUAACUGGGUCUGAGAGGAUGAUCAGCCACACUGGAACUGAGACACGGUCCAGACUCCUACGGGAGGCAGCAGUAGGGAAUAUUGGACAAUGGGCGCAAGCCUGAUCCAGCCAUGCCGCGUGAGUGAAGAAGGCCCUCGGGUUGUAAAGCUCUUUUGUCCGGAAAGAAAAGCGCCGGGUUAAUACCCUGGUGUCCUGACGGUACCGGAAGAAUAAGCACCGGCUAACUUCGUG
This 504-nucleotide ribosomal RNA is filed under the name uncultured bacterium. RNAcentral describes it as "bacterial SSU rRNA". It matches the Rfam family "Bacterial small subunit ribosomal RNA", at positions 8 to 507 of the family's 1533-position model. The record is from RNAcentral.